CAGUAGCCGCGGUAAUACGUAGGUGGCAAGCGUUGUCCGGAAUUAUUGGGCGUAAAGGGCUCGCAGGCGGUUUCUUAAGUCUGAUGUGAAAGCCCCCGGCUCAACCGGGGAGGGUCAUUGGAAACUGGGAAACUUGAGUGCAGAAGAGGAGAGUGGAAUUCCACGUGUAGCGGUGAAAUGCGUAGAGAUGUGGAGGAACACCAGUGGCGAAGGCGACUCUCUGGUCUGUAACAGACGCUGAGGAGCGAAAGCGUGGGGAGCGAACAGGAUUAGAUACCCCUGUAGUCCCUGUCUCUUAUAC
RNAcentral lists this ribosomal RNA (301 nucleotides) under uncultured bacterium. RNAcentral describes it as "partial 16S ribosomal RNA". It matches the Rfam family "Bacterial small subunit ribosomal RNA", at positions 509 to 807 of the family's 1533-position model. The record is from RNAcentral.